CUGGUCUUGAACUCCUGACCUCAGGUGAUCUGCCUGUCUUGGCCUCCCAAAGUGUGAGGAUUGUAGGGGUGAACCACCACACCUGGUGUCUGAAUUCUUUUUGGCAAAUAAAGUUGUGAUUGAUACCUAAGCCUGGUAAAGACAGUACAGAAAAGGAAAUUACAAUCCAAUAUGAAUAUAGAAGAAAAAACAAAACGAGCAAAAAAGUCUAAUAUAAAGUUAGUAAUAAUAUAUACCUUCUAAAAUUUGUUUGUGUUGAAUUUAAUUCAUUUAUUUUAAUACUUUUAGUGAUAUAACUGUUGAAGGUUACGAAUUCUCCUUUGACCAUUGUUUUACAUUUGUACUAUAGUUUCUGUUAUGUAGUAUUUUUGUUAUCAUUCUUUCAGUCUAGUUUGUAUUUUCCCUUUCAUGUACAAAUUGCUUAAUAAAACAUUUACUUUUCAAGUAGAAAGGCCUUUUGCUUUUUAAAAUUUUGUUAUUAACUUCUAGUUUGUUGUAUUUCGAUUUGAUACUGUAAUAUCUCUACCUUGUGGCACUUACUCAUGCUUUCUUUGAGAUCAAAUGGAGGAUCAUAUGUAUACACACAGACAACAUAAGAUCUUCCGUAAGAUUUUGUUGCUUCAGUGUUGUGUAUCUUUUUUUUCGUCCACUUGAUCUGUCUUGUACUGAGAGUGAUGUGUUAAAAUGUCUUAGUAUUUGUGUGCUUCUGUUUAUAUCUCGUUGCAUCUCCUGUAGUUUUUGGCUUCAGGUAGUUGCUGCAUUAUUUGGUACAUAGGUAUUUAUAACUGUUUAUAUUUCACUUAAGAAUUGUAGAUUUUAGCAUUAAUACCUAGUAUUAGCCAUUAAUACCUUUUGGCUUGAAUUCUGCUGUGUCUGAUAUCAGCAUAACAAUCACUGCUUUCUGUUUUCAUUAACCUAGUGUCACUUUUUCUUUUUAGCCUUUUUCUGUUUUUGGUGUCUCUUGUAUAUAGUGUAUAUUUGGGUCUUGUUUUAGGAGAAAAAUUUAAAAUCUUUUUUGUUUAAGCCUGAAAUGUAUUUGAGUUGUGAAAUAAAGGCAGGUUUUUUUUGAUAGCCUGAUUUGGCCUUUGGUCGAUAGUGGGUGUUUACCAUAAAUUGAAUGAGCUGUUUGCUGCUGUAUGGUUUGGGUGAAAGUAUAUUUGAAACAUAUGAUAAGGCAAAAGCAUUUUAUAAAACAGAUAUUAUUUCGGCAGAAGGAUAUUGAAAUUAACAAUAUUUUGAUGUUUUCUACCUUUUGGAGUAUAUCAAAUUAAACUGCUAAGGGAAACAGUAGCAGGUAUAAUUAAUAAUCAUUUGACAAGUCAUAGUAAUACUGUUUUGGAAUACUUCCCAGAAAUGGAAAAACUGAGUAAUUGUAGCAAAUGUAUAAUGCAUCCUACUGUAAGUCAUGUAGUUUCUAGUUAUUUGCUUUCAACAAAUUGUAAGAGGACCUAACAUCAAUUGCUACAACAUUAAAAAUGAUUUCUGGUGGUAGAUCACAAUGUGAAUUUUGGCAUAGAAACAAUUG
Molecule: long non-coding RNA, 1525 nt
Organism: Sapajus apella (tufted capuchin)
Lineage: Eukaryota; Metazoa; Chordata; Mammalia; Primates; Cebidae
Exons: 3
Source: RefSeq, a predicted model, not a curated record